AUUGAACGCUAGCGGGAUGCUUUACACAUGCAAGUCGAACGAGUGGCGGACGGGUGAGUAAUAUAGCGGAACGUGCCCAGUAGCGGGGGCUAACUACUCGAAAGAGUGGCUAAUACCGCAUACUAUUGUAGCGGCCGACACCGGAUGAGCUAGUCGGUGGGGUAAAGGCUCACCAAGGCAACGAUCCGUAGCUGGUUUGAGAGGACGACCAGCCACACUGGGACUGAGACACGGCCCAGGCUCCUACGGGAGGCAGCAGUGGGGAAUUGUGGACAAUGGGGGAAACCCGGAUCCAGCCAUCCCGCGUGUAUGAGAAGGCCUUCGGGUUGUAAAGUACUUUUGGCAGAGAAGCGGUAUCUGCAGAAAAAGCACCGGCUAACUACGUGCCAGCAGCCGCGGUAAUUC
This 405-nucleotide ribosomal RNA is filed under the name uncultured bacterium. RNAcentral describes it as "partial 16S ribosomal RNA". It matches the Rfam family "Bacterial small subunit ribosomal RNA", at positions 30 to 526 of the family's 1533-position model. The record is from RNAcentral.